GACGAACGCUGGCGGCGUGCUUAACACAUGCAAGUCGAACGGAAAGGCCUUGCUUUUGUUGUGUGCUCGAGUGGCGAACGGGUGAGUAACACGUGAGUAACCUGCCCUUGACUUUGGCAUAACUUCAGGAAACCGGGGCGAAUACCGGAUAGGAGCUCCUGCUGCAUGGGGUGGGUCGGAAAGUGUCGGAGGAUGGGGUUGGGCUCGCGGCUGAGCAGCCGGGUGUUGGGGUUGUUGCUGACCAAGGCUGUGAACGGGAGCCGGCCUGAGAGGGUGGACGGCCGCAUGGGGACGGCGAUACGGCCCCGACUCCUACGCGCGGCAGCAGUGGGGAAUAAGGCACGAUGGGCGGAGGCCUGAUGCAGCGACGCUGCGUGGGGGAUGACGGCCUUCGGGUGGUAACCUCCUUUCGACCGCGAGGAAUCCACCUGGUUGGAAGGGUGGUGACGGUAGUGGUAGAAGAAGCACCGGCUAACUACGUG
Molecule: ribosomal RNA, 482 nt
Filed under: uncultured bacterium
Lineage: Bacteria
Description: partial 16S ribosomal RNA
Rfam family: Bacterial small subunit ribosomal RNA
Source: RNAcentral